Gorilla gorilla gorilla (western lowland gorilla) is the source of this 1302-nucleotide long non-coding RNA. RefSeq lists it as uncharacterized. The record is from RefSeq and is a predicted model, not a curated record. The transcript is spliced from 3 exons. Lineage: Eukaryota; Metazoa; Chordata; Mammalia; Primates; Hominidae.
GAAAGUAACUCGGAGAUCUCAUUUUGCCACAUGGAAGACAGCAGACUCUCUACUUCUCUUCCCUUAGGUCACAAUGGCCUAUAGGAUAUUGCUUUUAGAAGCAAUGCUAUAAGGAACCCUUUUUCUUGCACCAGUAGGAGAUGGAGUCUUGCUCUGUCGCCCAGGCUGGAGUGUAGUGGAGCGUGAUCUUGGCUCACUGCAAGCUCCGCCUCCUGGUUCAUGCCAUUCUCCUGCCUCAGCCUCCGGAGUAGCUGGAACUACAGGUGCCCGCCACCACACCCGGAUAAUUUUUUGUAUUUUUACUAUUAGUAGAGAUGAGGUUUCACCGUGUUAGCCAGGAUGGUCUCGAUCUCCUGACCUCGUGAUCCACCCGCCUCAGCCUCCCAAAGUGCUGGGAUCAUAGGCGUGAGCCACCGUGCCCGGCCGACAUCACAUUUUACUUCCGUCCAUCAGCUCCUCAGUUUAGGAAAAUCUUAUCUUCCUAACAAAUAGAAAACUCUUGUAGCCCAAAUAAGAGGAAAAGAUGAGGCCUAAUGUUUAAAGUCCUGAUGGAUUCAAAGCCCUGAUGGAGACUCUCCACUCCUCAUACCUGAAGUCUGAAUAUUUGUCAUCUCAGAUUAUCUACAACUAAGGAGGGAACCUGACUUUUUCUUUGUCCCAGAGUGGGCAGGUUAUUCUCCCUCCCAAUACAAACCACCUUGAGGAAAAGACACAACUUAUUGGCAUAAAUGGCUGGGAUUGUUCUGAGGUUGUUCAUAGGUUCAAAGAAAUUGCUGCAGGGACUAGAACAAGGCCUCACACCACCAAGAUUUUCCUCACUUCUUCAAGCAGCCUUCUGCCUACCUGUCCCGCAUGGCGUCAUUCCUCAGAAGGCUUCUCCAGGCUCCUGGUAAGAUGUGGUCUGGCUGCCUCUUAGUUGACUAACUGUAACUUAAAGAGGGCAUCCUUUCCCAAAGAGCUUAUAUAAAGAGAAAAACUUUUGUUGGCCCUUCAUGGGUCACAUGUCCAUUCUUGGACCAAUUACUAUAUCACAGGAAUGAAUAAAGAGCUGUGAUUGGCCAGGUUCUGCUCGUGUUCCCUUGCCGACCACAGGGGUUGUUUCUGAUGCUGCUGGGGUUUGAGUGCAGAAGAAAUGCAUGGACAGGGAAAAAAAGUAGCCAGCGAAUCUCCCUCAGGUGCAUAUUAAGAAGAAAAAUGAAACUAAAAAGGGAAAACAAUAGCAACAAAGAUCAAAAUAAAUAACAAGGAAGCAGAGAGAAGAAAGAACAUGGUGAAGAGGGUGAAAAGUGUUGUCAUUUGGGG